This 86-nucleotide transfer RNA is filed under the name Myxococcota bacterium. RNAcentral's name for it is "tRNA-Ser". It matches the Rfam family "tRNA". From Rfam's summary of the family: Transfer RNA (tRNA) molecules are approximately 80 nucleotides in length. Their secondary structure includes four short double-helical elements and three loops (D, anti-codon, and T loops). The record is from RNAcentral. Lineage: Bacteria; Pseudomonadati; Myxococcota.
GGAGAGAUGGCCGAGAGGUCGAAGGCGCCUGACUCGAAAUCAGGUGUGGGCAUUGCUCACCGGGGGUUCGAAUCCCUCUCUCUCCG